This 462-nucleotide ribosomal RNA is filed under the name uncultured bacterium. Its description in RNAcentral is "partial 16S ribosomal RNA". It matches the Rfam family "Bacterial small subunit ribosomal RNA", at positions 29 to 507 of the family's 1533-position model. The record is from RNAcentral.
ACGAACGCUGGCGGCGUGCUUCACACAUGCAAGUCGAGCGGUAAGGCCCUUCGGGGUACCCGAGCGGCGAACGGGUGAGUAACACGUGAGUAAUCUGCCCAUCACUUCGGGAUAACUCCGGGAAACCGGUGCUAAUACCGAAUAUGACCACUUCAGGCAUCUGAUGGUGGUGGAAAGUUCCGGCGGUGAUGGAUGAGCUCGCGGCCUAUCAGCUUGUUGGUGGGGUAGUGGCCUACCAAGGCUUCGACGGGUAGCCGGCCUGAGAGGGUGACCGGCCACACUGGGACUGAGACACGGCCCAGACUCCUACGGGAGGCAGCAGUGGGGAAUAUUGGACAAUGGGCGAAAGCCUGAUCCAGCAACGCCGCGUGAGGGAUGACGGCCUUCGGGUUGUAAACCUCUUUCAGCAGGGACGAAGCGCAAGUGACGGUACCUGCAGAAGAAGCACCGGCCAACUACGUG